RNAcentral lists this microRNA precursor (81 nucleotides) under Choloepus hoffmanni (Hoffmann's two-fingered sloth). Its description in RNAcentral is "miRNA (ENSCHOG00000014852.1)". The record is from RNAcentral. Lineage: Eukaryota; Metazoa; Chordata; Mammalia; Pilosa; Megalonychidae.
AUAGAGAUAUAUGUCAAUGUAUGUGUGCAUGCACAUGUAUUUCAUGUAUUUACUUGCAUGUGUAUGUAUAUGCAUACAUAU